RNAcentral lists this ribosomal RNA (576 nucleotides) under uncultured eukaryote. RNAcentral describes it as "SSU rRNA". It matches the Rfam family "Eukaryotic small subunit ribosomal RNA", at positions 175 to 769 of the family's 1831-position model. The record is from RNAcentral.
UAAAGACCCCGACUUCGGAAGGGGUGUAUUUAUUAGAUACAAAACCAAUGCCCUUCGGGGCUCUUUGGUGAUUCAUGAUAACUAUACGAAUCGCACGGCCUUGCGCCGGCGAUGGUUCAUUCAAAUUUCUUCCCUAUCAACUUUCGAUGUUUGGGUAUUGGCCAAACAUGGUUGCAACGGGUAACGGAGGGUUAGGGCUCGACCCCGGARAAGGAGCCUGAGAAACGGCUACUACAUCCAAGGAAGGCAGCAGGCGCGCAAAUUACCCAAUCCCGACUCGGGGAGGUAGUGACAAUAAAUACUGAUACAGGGCCCUUUCGGGCCUUGUAAUUGGAAUGAGUACAAUUUAAAUCCCUUAACGAGGAACAAUUGGAGGGCAAGUCUGGUGCCAGCAGCCGCGGUAAUUCCAGCUCCAAUAGCGUAUAUUAAAGUUGUUGUGGUUAAAAAGCUCGUAGUUGAACCUUGGGCCUGGCUGGCCGGUCCGCCUCACCGCGUGCACUGGUCCGGCCGGGCCUUUCCCUCUGUGGAACCCCAUACCCUUCACUGGGCGUGGCGGGGAAACAKGACAUWUACUUU